UGACAUCAAAAUUUGCUGAUUAAGAUUUUUUAGCAUGUUGUUAUUUAUUCGUAAGAGUUUUAUAAAUUCGUAAGUAGUAAGAGUUAGUCUCUGUACCUUUUGCAUUAGGGUCUAUCAAGAAUUAAAUAUAUAUUUUAUUACCCCGAUAGUAAAAAAUUUAUUAAAUUGAGCUAAUCUAAUGUUGCAGAAUUAUAUUAAACUUUUUAAUAAUUGGCUAGAUACUAUACUGCUUUUACAGGUAUCUGGUUAGCUUAAAAAUAUAUUUAGUAUAGAUUUUUUUCUUAAAAUAUUCACAAUAUCCUGGAUAAGCAGGAUGUGGGAAUUUAUUGAACUAUUUUAACAAAUUAUAUUAGUUAGGUAGACUUGACGUUAGUAAUUGGUUAGUUUGUUAUAAAAAAUCUAAUACUGGAUUUUAAAUUAAUUUGUGGGUCAUUGAGUGAAUAGGCUUAAAUUUUAACAAUUAUAAUGAUGAUAAGAAUUAGUAGAAAAUAAAUUUAAAAUUAUUAUUUAAUUAAUAGGUUAUAAUAAUUUAAAUAUUUGUUUAUUUAAUUUUUUUGUAAUAAAUUCGGCAAAUUUACUUUCCGAAUGUUUAACAAAAACAUUUCUUUCUGAAAUUAAGAUAGGAGGUAGGCCCUGCCCAAUGCUUUAAGGAGUUAAUGGCUGCAUAAAUUUGAGUGUACUAAGGUAGCGCUAUAAUUUGCCUUUUAAAUGGGGGAUGGUAUGAAUGGGUUCACGCGAAAGUUGCUGUGUCACAAAAAUUUUUUGAAAUUAACUUUUAGGUGAAGAGGCCUGACUAAGUUUAAAGGACGACAAGACCCUAGAAGCUUUACUGAAAGUAAUAUAUAUAUAUAUAUAUACAGUAUAUCACUCCAGUUUUGUUGGGGCAACAUAGUUAGAAAGUAUAACUUGCUUAUACAAACUUACAGGUUAAAACCACUUAGGUGAAUAAGAUAAGCUACUCUAGGGAUAACAGCGUUAUUUUUUUUAAUAGUACUUAUUGUAAAAGAAGUUUGCGACCUCGAUGUUGGACUAAGGUAUCCUUAAGGAGCAGAAGUUUUAGAGGGUUGGACUGUUCGUCCAUUAAAACCUUACAUGAUCUGAGUUCAGACCGGCGUGAGCUAGGUCAGUUUCUAUCCUUACAUACAUAAAUUUGAUUAAGUUAGUACGAAAGGAAUUUUUAAUCUAAAAUUAUUUAAGACUAUUUAAUUUAAUCAACAGCUUGAAGAUUGGCCCAACCGUCAGUGGGUUUGUGUGC
Molecule: ribosomal RNA, 1255 nt
Filed under: Gigantidas platifrons
Lineage: Eukaryota; Metazoa; Mollusca; Bivalvia; Mytilida; Modiolidae
Description: 16S ribosomal RNA
Rfam family: Bacterial large subunit ribosomal RNA (bases 776-1138)
Source: RNAcentral